This 253-nucleotide ribosomal RNA is filed under the name uncultured bacterium. RNAcentral's name for it is "partial 16S ribosomal RNA". It matches the Rfam family "Bacterial small subunit ribosomal RNA", at positions 524 to 776 of the family's 1533-position model. The record is from RNAcentral.
UACGAAGGGGGCUAGCGUUGUUCGGAAUUACUGGGCGUAAAGCGCACGUAGGCGGAUUGUUAAGUCAGGGGUGAAAUCCCGGGGCUCAACCUCGGAACUGCCUUUGAUACUGGCAAUCUCGAGUCCGGAAGAGGUGGGUGGAAUUCCUAGUGUAGAGGUGAAAUUCGUAGAUAUUAGGAAGAACACCAGUGGCGAAGGCGGCCCACUGGUCCGGUACUGACGCUGAGGUGCGAAAGCGUGGGGAGCAAACAGG